GAAAAAUUAGUUAAUUUAUUAUAACAUAAGCUUGUCACGCUUAAGUAAUCAAAGUAUUUGAUAUUUUUCA
Penaeus chinensis is the source of this 70-nucleotide non-coding RNA. Lineage: Eukaryota; Metazoa; Arthropoda; Malacostraca; Decapoda; Penaeidae. The record is from the annotation of a RefSeq genome assembly.